AUUGAACGCUGGCGGCAUGCCUUACACAUGCAAGUCGAACGGUAACAGGUUAAGCUGCCGAGUGGCGAACGGGUGAGUAAUGUAUCGGAACGUGCCCAGUCGUGGGGGAUAACUGCUCGAAAGAGCAGCUAAUACCGCAUACGACCUGAGGGUGAAAGCGGGGGAUCGCAAGACCUCGCGCGAUUGGAGCGGCCGAUAUCAGAUUAGGUAGUUGGUGAGGUAAAGGCUCACCAAGCCGACGAUCUGUAGCUGGUCUGAGAGGACGACCAGCCACACUGGGACUGAGACACGGCCCAGACUCCUACGGGAGGCAGCAGUGGGGAAUUUUGGACAAUGGGCGCAAGCCUGAUCCAGCCAUGCCGCGUGCGGGAAGAAGGCCUUCGGGUUGUAAACCGCUUUUGUCAGGGAAGAAAAGGUUCUGGCUAAUACCUGGGACUCAUGACGGUACCUGAAGAAUAAGCACCGGCUAACUACGCG
Molecule: ribosomal RNA, 477 nt
Filed under: uncultured bacterium
Lineage: Bacteria
Description: partial 16S ribosomal RNA
Rfam family: Bacterial small subunit ribosomal RNA
Source: RNAcentral